AACGAACGCUGGCGGCAUGCCUAACACAUGCAAGUCGAACGAGACCUUCGGGUCUAGUGGCGCACGGGUGCGUAACACGUGGGAAUCUGCCCUUUGCUUCGGAAUAACAGUUAGAAAUGACUGCUAAUACCGGAUGAUGUCGAAAGACCAAAGAUUUAUCGGCAAAGGAUGAGCCCGCGUAGGAUUAGGUAGUUGGUGGGGUAAAGGCCUACCAAGCCGACGAUCCUUAGCUGGUCUGAGAGGAUGAUCAGCCACACUGGGACUGAGACACGGCCCAGACUCCUACGGGGGGGAGCAGGGGGGAAUAUUGGAAAAUGGGCGAAAGCCUGACCCAGCAAUGCCGGGUGAGUGAUGAAGGCCUUAGGGUUGUAAAGCUCUUUUACCAGGGAUGAUAAUGAAAGUACCGGGGAAAUAAGCCCCGGCUAACUCCGU
RNAcentral lists this ribosomal RNA (432 nucleotides) under uncultured bacterium. RNAcentral's name for it is "partial 16S ribosomal RNA". It matches the Rfam family "Bacterial small subunit ribosomal RNA", at positions 29 to 506 of the family's 1533-position model. The record is from RNAcentral.